AAACGGACGCUAAUACCGCAUACGUCCUACGGGAGAAAGCAGGGGACCUUCGGGCCUUGCGCUAUCAGAUGAGCCUAGGUCGGAUUAGCUAGUUGGUGAGGUAAUGGCUCACCAAGGCGACGAUCCGUAACUGGUCUGAGAGGAUGAUCAGUCACACUGGAACUGAGACACGGUCCAGACUCCUACGGGAGGCAGCAGUGGGGAAUAUUGGACAAUGGGCGAAAGCCUGAUCCAGCCAUGCCGCGUGUGUGAAGAAGGUCUUCGGAUUGUAAAGCACUUUAAGUUGGGAGGAAAGGCAUUAACCUAAUACGUUGGUGUCUUGACGUUACCGACAGAAUAAGCACCGGCUAACUCUGUGCCAGCAGCCGCGGUAAUACAGAGGGUGCAAGCGUUAAUCGGAAUUACUGGGCGUAAAGCGCGCGUAGGUGGUUCGUUAAGUUGGAUGUGAAAUCCCCGGGCUCAACCUGGGAACUGCAUUCAAAACUGUCGAGCUAGAGUAUGGUAGAGGGUGGUGGAAUUUCCUGUGUAGCGGUGAAAUGCGUAGAUAUAGGAAG
This 554-nucleotide ribosomal RNA is filed under the name Pseudomonas sp. A23(2015). RNAcentral's name for it is "bacterial SSU rRNA". It matches the Rfam family "Bacterial small subunit ribosomal RNA", at positions 154 to 703 of the family's 1533-position model. The record is from RNAcentral. Lineage: Bacteria; Pseudomonadati; Pseudomonadota; Gammaproteobacteria; Pseudomonadales; Pseudomonadaceae.